Molecule: non-coding RNA, 26 nt
Filed under: Drosophila melanogaster (fruit fly)
Lineage: Eukaryota; Metazoa; Arthropoda; Insecta; Diptera; Drosophilidae
Source: RNAcentral
UAGGCUAGACCACUUAAAUUCCGAAG